CUAUCAACUAGUUGGUGAGGUAGUGGCUCACCAAGGUGUUAACGGGUAACGGGGGAUCAGGGUUCGAUUCCGGAGAGGGAGCCUGAGAAACGGCUACCACAUCUAAGGAAGGCAGCAGGCGCGCAAAUUACCCAAUCCAGACUUUGGGAGGUAGUGACGAGAAAUACCGGAGUAGACCGUAUAUUGGUUCACUAUCGGAAUGAACGUAAUUUAAUACCUUCGAUGAGUAGCUACUGGAGGGCAAGUCUGGUGCCAGCAGCCGCGGUAAUUCCAGCUCCAGUAGUGUAUAUCAAAAUUGUUGCGGUUAAAACGCUCGUAGUUGGAUUACAAAAGCUCUCUGGCGGCCAAAUCUAGGUUUGGUCGCCGUGGGGUUUUUUUAUCGCGAGAGCCGCAUGUGGGAUUAACUUCUUGUGUGCGGUCACUUGCGAGGUGUGCCUUGAAUAAAGCACAGUGCUCAAAGCAGGCGAUAGCUCGAAUGUUAUAGCAUGGAACGAUUAUGUUGAUCUUGUCGACUGUUGGUUGUUGACAUUGGUCUCGAUUAAAAGGGACAUUUGAGGGCGUUAGUACUUGGUGGCGAGGGGUGAAAUCCUUAGACCCAUCAAAGACUAACUAAUGCGAAAGCAUUCGCCAAGAGUGUUUUCAUUAAUCAAGAACGAAAGUAGGAGGUUCGAAGACGAUCAGAUACCGUCCUAGUUCCUUACAGUAAACUAUGCCAACAUGGGAUUAGCCCGGUUUAAACCAGGUUGGGCCCUCAGUGAAAAUAAGUGUUUCGGUUCUGGGGAGAGUGCGUACGCAAGUGCCAAAUUUAAAGAAAUUGACGGAAUGGCACCACCAGGAGUGGAGCCUGCGGCUUAAUUUGAUUCAACACGGGGAAACUCACCAGGUCCAGACAUUGGUAGGAUUGACAGACUGAGAGAUCUUUCAUGAUUUGAUGAUUGGUGGUGCAUGGCCGUUCUUAGUUGGUGGAGUGAUCUGUCAGGUUUAUUCCGGUAACGAGCGAGACCACGAUCUUUAAUUGAUUACGGUUAAAUUGUCUUGACCGAUCUUAAAGAGACCACCGGAGUGAAGCCGGGGGAAGCGUGGCAAUAACAGGUCUGUGAUGCCCUUCGAUGUUCUGGGCUGCACGUGUGCUACAAUGAUAGUGACAACAAGUUCCUGCUCUGAGAGGAGUGGGGAAUCUUGAAAAUCGCUGUCUUGCUUUGGACUGAGCCUUGUAAUAAUUGCUCACGAAAGAGGAAUUCCUCGUAAGCGCGAGUCAUCAGCUCGUGUUGAAUACGUCUCUGCCCUUUGUACACACCGCCCGUCGCUACUACC
RNAcentral lists this ribosomal RNA (1314 nucleotides) under Kudoa thyrsites. RNAcentral's name for it is "SSU rRNA". It matches the Rfam family "Eukaryotic small subunit ribosomal RNA", at positions 312 to 1686 of the family's 1831-position model. Lineage: Eukaryota; Metazoa; Cnidaria; Myxozoa; Multivalvulida; Kudoidae. The record is from RNAcentral.